CGGUAAUUCCAGCUCCAAUAGCGUAUACUAAAGUUGUUGCAGUUAAAAAGCUCGUAGUUGGAUUUCUGUGGGGACGGAGCGGCCGGACGCAACUUGCGUCUCGAGCUAGCGCUUUCCCCACAUCCUGCCGCGAACCGUGCUACCAUUAGCUUGGUGGCGCUGGGGAUCGGCUCGAUUACUUUGAGAAAAAUAGAGUGUUCAAAGCAGGCCACACGCCUUGAAUAAGUUAGCAUGGAAUAAUGACUAAGGACUUUGGUUCUUUUCGUUGGUGUUCGGGACUGAAGUAAUGAUUGAUAGGGACAGUUGGGGCGGUCCGUAUUCCAAAGCGAGAGGUGAAAUUCCUAGACCUUCGGAAGACGAACAGCUGCGAAAGCGUUCCGCAAGGAUGUUCCCUUUGAUCAAGAACGAAAGUUGGGGGAUCGAAGACGAUCAGAUACCGUCGUAGUCUCAACUAUAAACUAUACCAGCUAGGGAUCGGCCAACGUUUAAUUAUUCGACUUGGUCGGCACCUUAUGAGAAAUCAAAGCAUCUGGGUUCCGGGGGGAGUAUGGUCGCAAGGCUGAAACUUAAAGGAAUUGACGGAAGGGCACCACCAGGCGUGGAGCCUGUGGCUUAAUUUGACUCAACACGGGAAAACUUACCAGGUCCAGACAUAGGAAGGAUUGACAGAUUGAUAGCUCUUUCUUGAUUCUGUGGGUGGUGGUGCAUGGCCGUUUUUAGUCGGUGAAGUGAUUUGUCUGCUUAAUUGCGUUAACGGACGAGACCCCAGCCUGCUAAAUAGCGCGGCUGAGCUUUGCUCGGUACGAGCUUCUUAGAGGGACCAUGAUGCGCGAUAGCACAAGGAAGUUUGGGGCAACAACAGGUCUGUGAUGCCCUUAGAUGUUCUGGGCCGCACACGGGCUACACUGGCGCCUGCAACGAGCAUAUCAGCUGGCCCGAGAGGGUCUUGGCUAAUCUUUGGAACCGGCGCCGUGCUUGGGAUUGACCAUUGCAAUUGUUGGUCAUGCAACGAGGAAUGCCUUGUAAACGCGAGUCAUCAGCUCGCAUUGAAUACGUCCCUGCUCCUUGUACACACCGCCC
RNAcentral lists this ribosomal RNA (1080 nucleotides) under uncultured Rhizaria. Its description in RNAcentral is "SSU rRNA". It matches the Rfam family "Eukaryotic small subunit ribosomal RNA", at positions 577 to 1674 of the family's 1831-position model. The record is from RNAcentral.